UACGUAGGGCGCAAGCGUUAUCCGGAAUUAUUGGGCGUAAAGAGCUCGUAGGCGGUUUGUCGCGUCUGCCGUGAAAGUCCAGGGCCCAACCCUGGGAUGCCGACCGAUACUGUCGGACUAGAGUUCGGAAGAGGCGAGUGGAAUUCCCGGUGUAGCGGUGAAAUGCGCAGAUAUCGGGAGGAACACCAAUGGCGAAGGCAGCUCGCUGGGACGUUACUGACGCUGAGACGCGAAAGCGUGGGGAGCAAACAGG
RNAcentral lists this ribosomal RNA (253 nucleotides) under uncultured bacterium. RNAcentral describes it as "partial 16S ribosomal RNA". It matches the Rfam family "Bacterial small subunit ribosomal RNA", at positions 524 to 776 of the family's 1533-position model. The record is from RNAcentral.